UAAGGAGGAUGCGAGCGUUAUCCGGAUUUAUUGGGUUUAAAGGGUGCGCAGGCGGAUUUUUAAGUCAGCGGUCAAAUCGUGGGGCUCAACCCCAUCCAGCCGUUGAAACUGGCAGUCUCGAGUUGGAGAGAAGUAUGCGGAAUGCGUGGUGUAGCGGUGAAAUGCGUAGAUAUCAGGAGGAACACCGGCGGCGAAGGCGGCCUGCUGGACUGAAACUGACGUUGAGGCUCGAAAGCGUGGGGAGCAAACAGG
RNAcentral lists this ribosomal RNA (252 nucleotides) under uncultured bacterium. RNAcentral's name for it is "partial 16S ribosomal RNA". It matches the Rfam family "Bacterial small subunit ribosomal RNA", at positions 524 to 776 of the family's 1533-position model. The record is from RNAcentral.